UUUGUACUCCCUCCGUCCAACAAAGGAUGUCUCAAUUUUGACUAAAUUUGAAUGUAUCUAUACACUAAAUCACAUCUAGAUGCAUCCAAAUUUCAACAAACUUGAGACAUCUUUUGUUGGACGGAGGGAGUAAUUA
This is a non-coding RNA of Brachypodium distachyon (stiff brome), 136 nucleotides long. NCBI's taxonomy places the organism in Eukaryota, Viridiplantae, Streptophyta, Magnoliopsida, Poales, Poaceae. The record is from Rfam.